CGGAGGGUGCAAGCGUUAUCCGGAUUCACUGGGUUUAAAGGGUGCGUAGGUGGCUAUUUAAGUCAGUGGUGAAAGCCCGCGGCUCAACCGUGGAAUUGCCAUUGAAACUGAGUAGCUUGAGUACAGUUGAAGUGGGCGGAAUACAUCAUGUAGCGGUGAAAUGCUUAGAUAUGAUGUAGAACACCGAUUGCGAAGGCAGCUCACUAAGCUGUAACUGACACUGAGGCACGAAAGCGUGGGUAGCGAACAGGAUUAGAUACCCUGGUAGUCCACGCCCUAAACGAUGUCAACUGGUUGUUGGGUCUUUACUGACUCAGUAACGAAGCUAACGCGUGAAGUUGACCGCCUGGGGAGUACGGCCGCAAGGUUG
Molecule: ribosomal RNA, 370 nt
Filed under: uncultured organism
Description: bacterial SSU rRNA
Rfam family: Bacterial small subunit ribosomal RNA
Source: RNAcentral